GAUGAACGCUGGCGGCGUGCCUAAUACAUGCAAGUCGAGCGAACGGACGAGAAGCUUGCUUUUCUGAUGUUAGCGGCGGACGGGUGAGUAACACGUGGAUAACCUACCUAUAAGACUGGGAUAACUUCGGGAAACCGGAGCUAAUACCCGAUAAUAUUUUGAACCGCAUGGUUCAUCAGUGAAAGACGGUCUUGCUGUCACUUAUAGAUGGAUCCGCGCUGCAUUAGCUAGUUGGUAAGGUAACGGCUUACCAAGGCAACGAUGCAUAGCCGACCUGAGAGGGUGAUCAGCCACACUGGAACUGAGACACGGUCCAGACUCCUACGGGAGGCAGCAGUAGGGAAUCUUCCGCAAUGGGCGAAAGCCUGACGGAGCAACGCCGCGUGAGUGAUGAAGGUCUUCGGAUCGUAAAACUCUGUUAUUAGGGAAGAACAGAUGUGUAAGUAACUGUGCACAUCUUGACGGUACCUAAUCAGAAAGCCACGGCUAACUACGUG
This 497-nucleotide ribosomal RNA is filed under the name uncultured bacterium. RNAcentral's name for it is "partial 16S ribosomal RNA". It matches the Rfam family "Bacterial small subunit ribosomal RNA", at positions 28 to 507 of the family's 1533-position model. The record is from RNAcentral.